UCCCUGGUGGUCCAGUGGUUAGGACUUGUCACUUUUACUGUGGUGGCCUGGGUUCAGUCCCUGGUCAGGGAA
RNAcentral lists this transfer RNA (72 nucleotides) under Odocoileus virginianus texanus. It matches the Rfam family "tRNA". From Rfam's summary of the family: Transfer RNA (tRNA) molecules are approximately 80 nucleotides in length. Their secondary structure includes four short double-helical elements and three loops (D, anti-codon, and T loops). The record is from Rfam by way of RNAcentral. RNAcentral also lists the same sequence under 1 other name. Lineage: Eukaryota; Metazoa; Chordata; Mammalia; Artiodactyla; Cervidae.